This 497-nucleotide ribosomal RNA is filed under the name uncultured bacterium. RNAcentral's name for it is "partial 16S ribosomal RNA". It matches the Rfam family "Bacterial small subunit ribosomal RNA", at positions 28 to 507 of the family's 1533-position model. The record is from RNAcentral.
GAUGAACGCUGGCGGCGUGCCUAAUACAUGCAAGUCGAGCGAACAGACGAGGAGCUUGCUCCUCUGACGUUAGCGGCGGACGGGUGAGUAACGCGUGGAUAACCUACCUAUAAGACUGGGAUAACUUCGGGAAACCGGAGCUAAUACCGGAUAACAUGUUGAACCGCAUGGUUCAACAGUGAAAGACGGUCUUGCUGUCACUUAUAGAUGGAUCCGCGCCGCACUAGCUAGUUGGUAAGGUAACGGCUUACCAAGGCAACGAUGCGUAGCCGACCUGAGAGGGUGAUCGGCCACACUGGAACUGAGACACGGUCCAGACUCCUACGGGAGGCAGCAGUAGGGAAUCUUCCGCAAUGGGCGAAAGCCUGACGGAGCAACGCCGCGUGAGUGAAGAAGGUCUUCGGAUCGUAAAACUCUGUUAUUAGGGAAGAACAAAUGUGUAAGUAACUAUGCACGUCUUGACGGUACCUAAUCAGAAAGCCACGGCUAACUACGUG